This 301-nucleotide ribosomal RNA is filed under the name uncultured bacterium. RNAcentral describes it as "partial 16S ribosomal RNA". It matches the Rfam family "Bacterial small subunit ribosomal RNA", at positions 509 to 808 of the family's 1533-position model. The record is from RNAcentral.
CAGCAGCCGCGGUAACACGUAGGGUGCGAUCGUUAAUCGGAAUUACUGGGCGUAAAGCGUGCGCGGGCGGUUGUGUAAGACAGGUGUGAAAUCCCGGGCUUAACCUGGGAACUGCGCUUGUGACUGCACAGCUAGAGUAUGGCAGAGGGGGGUGGAAUUCCACGUGUAGCAGUGAAAUGCGUAGAGAUGUGGAGGAACACCGAUGGCGAAGGCAGCCCCCUGGGCCAAUACUGACGCUCAUGCACGAAAGCGUGGGGAGCAAACAGGAUUAGAUACCCCCGUAGUCCCUGUCUCUUAUACA